RNAcentral lists this ribosomal RNA (508 nucleotides) under uncultured bacterium. RNAcentral's name for it is "partial 16S ribosomal RNA". It matches the Rfam family "Bacterial small subunit ribosomal RNA", at positions 28 to 507 of the family's 1533-position model. The record is from RNAcentral.
GACGAACGCUGGCGGCGUGCCUAAUACAUGCAAGUCGAACGCUUCUUUCCUCCCGAGUGCUUGCACUCAAUUGGAAAGAGGAGUGGCGGACGGGUGAGUAACACGUGGGUAACCUACUCAUCAGAGGGGGAUAACACUUGGAAACAGGUGCUAAUACCGCAUAACAGUUUAUGCCGCAUGGCAUAAGAGUGAAAGGCGCUUUCGGGUGUCGCUGAUGGAUGGACCCGCGGUGCAUUAGCUAGUUGGUGAGGUAACGGCUCACCAAGGCCACGAUGCAUAGCCGACCUGAGAGGGUGAUCGGCCACACUGGGACUGAGACACGGCCCAGACUCCUACGGGAGGCAGCAGUAGGGAAUCUUCGGCAAUGGACGAAAGUCUGACCGAGCAACGCCGCGUGAGUGAAGAAGGUUUUCGGAUCGUAAAACUCUGUUGUUAGAGAAGAACAAGGACGUUAGUAACUGAACGUCCCCUGACGGUAUCUAACCAGAAAGCCACGGCUAACUACGUG